CAGAUAAUGAAGUGACGUGUCAACAGAACAGAGAUAAUGAAGUGAUGUGGCAACAGAACCGAGAUAAUGAAGUGACAUGUCAACAGAACAUAGAUAAUGAAGUGACGUGUCAACAGAACAGAGAUAAUGAAGUGACGUGUCAACAGAACAGAGAUAAUGGAGUGACGUGUCAACAGAACAUAGAUAAGGAAGUGACGUGUCAACAGAACAUAGAUAAUGAAGUGACGUGUCAACAGAACAGAGAUAAUGAAGUGUCGAGUCAAUACAACAGAGAUAAUGAAGUGAUGUGUCAAUAGAUCAGAGAUAAUGAGAUGUGGCAACAGAACAGAGAUAAUGAAUUGACUUGUCAACAGAACAGAGAUAAUGAAGUGAUGUGUCAAUAGAUCAGAGAUAAUGAGAUGUGGCAACAGAACAGAGAUAAUGAAGUGUCGAAUCAAUAGAACAGAGAUAACGAAGUGAUGUCAACAGAACAGAUAAUGAAAUGUGGCAACAGAACAGAGAUAAUGAAGUGUCGAAUCAAUAGAACAGAGAUAACGAAGUGAUGUCAACAGAACAGAUAAUGAAGUGACGUGUCAACAGAACAGAGAUAAUGAAGUGAUGUGGCAACAGAACAGAGAUAAUGAAGUGA
Molecule: long non-coding RNA, 628 nt
Organism: Oncorhynchus tshawytscha (Chinook salmon)
Lineage: Eukaryota; Metazoa; Chordata; Actinopteri; Salmoniformes; Salmonidae
Source: Ensembl